This is a long non-coding RNA of Mauremys reevesii (Reeves's turtle), 528 nucleotides long. RefSeq lists it as uncharacterized. The record is from RefSeq and is a predicted model, not a curated record. The transcript is spliced from 3 exons. Lineage: Eukaryota; Metazoa; Chordata; Testudines; Geoemydidae.
UCUACCUCCCUGUGCUCACUUCACGCCAAGUCCUGCUCCUCCUUUGCUCCUCCACUGCUCCAGCCUAAACCCUGCCCUGCACCCAGCCUUAUUCUAGUCCUGUCCCAGACCUGCUUCUGCCUUGAAACCAGCUUUACUCUCAACUCCAGGUCCCCCAGCGGGCUUUGGCUUUUGCAGCUCAUCCUGGGCCCAUACCCAAAGGAGCUGUUUGAUGACCCCCAUCCUGGAGGAUCAGCUUGCCUCAGAACUGCCAGCAGAAGAUACAGAAGGAGCCUGGCCUCUCCAGCUCUGCAGCCCAGCCACAAUCCAGCAAGAGCCAGGGAUUUUGAACAGUCAUGAAGCAGUCCAAAAGGAUGCCUGUCCAUGAUGAACUUAUGGUGGCUAUCUUGGAUAGGGCCAACAAGCAGGUACAAUACCAAAGGGAAAAGGAUUCACGGCCAGGGAAAAGGCACAGCCAGGCUGCAGAGUGCAGGAGACACUUGCAGUGCAGUUUCUAGACCAGGAAUGGUGACUGAAGGAGGAAGAUAG